This 873-nucleotide ribosomal RNA is filed under the name Triticum aestivum (bread wheat). RNAcentral's name for it is "partial small subunit ribosomal RNA". Lineage: Eukaryota; Viridiplantae; Streptophyta; Magnoliopsida; Poales; Poaceae. The record is from RNAcentral.
AUGGCCAAGGACGAGGUGAUGGAGACCGGCGGCGGCGGCGACUUCGCGGCCAAGGACUACACGGACCCGCCGCCGGCCCCGCUGAUCGACGCGGCGGAGCUGGCCUCCUGGUCGCUCUACCGCGCCGUCAUCGCCGAGUUCAUCGCCACGCUGCUCUUCCUCUACAUCACCGUGGCCACCGUCAUCGGGUACAAGCACCAGACGGACCCGGCCGUGAACACCGCCGCCGACGCGGCGUGCGGCGGCGUGGGCGUGCUCGGCAUCGCCUGGGCCUUCGGCGGCAUGAUCUUCGUCCUCGUCUACUGCACCGCCGGCAUCUCCGGGGGCCACAUCAACCCGGCCGUCACCUUCGGCCUCUUCCUGGCGCGCAAGGUCUCCCUGGUCCGCGCGCUGCUCUACAUGGUGGCCCAGUGCCUCGGCGCCAUGUGCGGGGUCGGCCUCGUCAAGGCCUUCCAGAGCGCCUACUUCGUCAGGUACGGCGGCGGCGCCAACACGCUCGCCGCCGGCUACUCCAAGGGCACCGGCCUCGCCGCGGAGAUCAUCGGCACCUUCGUGCUCGUCUACACCGUCUUCUCCGCCACCGACCCCAAGCGCAGCGCACGCGACUCUCACGUCCCGGUGCUGGCGCCCCUCCCGAUUGGCUUCGCCGUGUUCAUGGUCCACCUGGCCACCAUCCCCAUCACCGGCACCGGCAUCAACCCGGCCCGGAGCCUCGGGGCCGCCGUCAUCUACAACAAGGACAAGGCCUGGGAUGAUCAGUGGAUCUUCUGGGUCGGCCCCAUGAUCGGCGCGGCGAUCGCGGCCUUCUACCACCAGUACAUCCUCAGGGCCGGCGCCAUCAAGGCCCUCGGCUCCUUCAGGAGCAACGCGUAA